This 429-nucleotide ribosomal RNA is filed under the name Chloroflexota bacterium. RNAcentral describes it as "Chloroflexi bacterium partial 16S ribosomal RNA". It matches the Rfam family "Bacterial small subunit ribosomal RNA", at positions 355 to 776 of the family's 1533-position model. RNAcentral also lists the same sequence under 1 other name. The record is from RNAcentral. Lineage: Bacteria; Bacillati; Chloroflexota.
UGGUGAAUAUUGCACAAUGGGCGCAAGCCUGAUGCAGCCAUGCCGCGUGUAUGAAGAAGGCCUUCGGGUUGUAAAGUACUUUCAGCGGGGAGGAAGGGAGUAAAGUUAAUACCUUUGCUCAUUGACGUUACCCGCAGAAGAAGCACCGGCUAACUCCGUGCCAGCAGCCGCGGUAAUACGGAGGGUGCAAGCGUUAAUCGGAAUUACUGGGCGUAAAGCGCACGCAGGCGGUUUGUUAAGUCAGAUGUGAAAUCCCCGGGCUCAACCUGGGAACUGCAUCUGAUACUGGCAAGCUUGAGUCUCGUAGAGGGGGGUAGAAUUCCAGGUGUAGCGGUGAAAUGCGUAGAGAUCUGGAGGAAUACCGGUGGCGAAGGCGGCCCCCUGGACGAAGACUGACGCUCAGGUGCGAAAGCGUGGGGAGCAAACAGG